GGAGUUAGCCGGUGCUUCUUCUGUGAGUGAUGUCCUUCCUGCCGGCUAUUAACCCGCAGGCCUUCUUCCUCACUGAAAGUGCUUUACAACCCGAAGGCCUUCUUCACACACGCGGCAUGGCUGGAUCAGGGUUGCCCCCAUUGUCCAAUAUUCCCCACUGCUGCCUCCCGUAGGAGUCUGGGCCGUGUCUCAGUCCCAGUGUGGCUGAUCAUCCUCUCAGACCAGCUACGGAUCGUCGCCUUGGUGAGCCGUUACCUCACCAACCAGCUAAUCCGACAUAGGCUCAUCCGAUAGCGCGAGGCCCGAAGGUCCCCCGCUUUCCCCCGUAGGGCGUAUGCGGUAUUAGCCUGGGUUUCCCCAGGUUAUCCCCCACUACCGGGGCAGAUUCCUAUGCAUUACUCACCCGUCCGCCGCUCGCCACCAGGGAGCAAGCUCCCCGUGCUGCCGCUCGACUUGCAUGUGUUAGGCCUGCCGCCAGCGUUCAAUCUGAGCCAGAAUACAAACUCUGA
Molecule: ribosomal RNA, 509 nt
Filed under: uncultured bacterium
Lineage: Bacteria
Description: partial 16S ribosomal RNA
Source: RNAcentral